UACGGAAGGCAGCAGUGGGGAAUAUUGCACAAUGGGCGAAAGCCUGAUGCAGCUAUGCCGCGUGUAUGAAGAAGGCCUUAGGGUUGUAAAGUACUUUCAUCGGGGAGGAAAAAACAAAACUAAUAAUUUUAUUUCUUGACGUUACCCGAAAAAGAAGCACCGGCUAACUCCGUGCCAGCAGCCGCGGUAAUACGGAGGGUGCUAGCGUUAAUCAGAAUUACUGGGCGUAAAGAGCACGUAGGUGGUUUUUUAAGUCAGAUGUGAAAUCCCUGGGCUUAACCUAGGAAACUGCAUUUUGAAACUGAAAUACUAGAGUAUCGUAGAGGGAGGUAGAAUUCUAGGUGUAGCGGUGAAAUGCGUAGAUAUCUGGAGGAAUACCUGUGGCGAAAGCGGCCGUCCUAAACGAAUACUGACACUGAGGGUGCGAAAGCGUGGGGAGCGAAAC
RNAcentral lists this ribosomal RNA (445 nucleotides) under uncultured bacterium. Its description in RNAcentral is "bacterial SSU rRNA". It matches the Rfam family "Bacterial small subunit ribosomal RNA", at positions 340 to 774 of the family's 1533-position model. The record is from RNAcentral.